Molecule: small nucleolar RNA, 120 nt
Filed under: Echinops telfairi (small Madagascar hedgehog)
Lineage: Eukaryota; Metazoa; Chordata; Mammalia; Afrosoricida; Tenrecidae
Description: Small nucleolar RNA SNORA61 (ENSETEG00000026462.1)
Source: RNAcentral
AUCCUCCUGAUUCCUUACCUCUUAGAUCUAAAUAUUGGUCUGAGAGGCUAAAAAGGAGGGAAAGUAAAACUCAAGUGGAAUUGGAGUCUUCAGUGACAUACAAGUUUAUUUCAAACGUGG